Molecule: transfer RNA, 69 nt
Filed under: Planctomycetota bacterium
Lineage: Bacteria; Pseudomonadati; Planctomycetota
Also listed under: 1 other name
Description: Planctomycetes bacterium tRNA-Met
Source: RNAcentral
GGCUGCGGAGAAUCGGUCCGCGGAAUCAUAAUCCGCGUGUCGGGGGUUCGAGUCCCUCCACCGCUACCA